Molecule: ribosomal RNA, 1485 nt
Filed under: Triticum aestivum (bread wheat)
Lineage: Eukaryota; Viridiplantae; Streptophyta; Magnoliopsida; Poales; Poaceae
Description: partial small subunit ribosomal RNA
Source: RNAcentral
AUGUUUUUCUUCGCUGUUACAAGGUUGCGCACAAACCGUACGAAAUGUCACAAGCUGAUGUUUCAAAAUGAAGAAUGUGAUGCCAGUGUUGGUUCUAUUGCUAAAGCGUUUGUCCCCACUGGCAUGCUUAACUCAGACAGUGCUGACGUUGUUUUAUAUUCUCUACGUCAGAAGUACCGAGACACUGACAAGUUGGUAGUUCCCAGAUGGCUUCUUUUCCCAACUUUUGAUCCGCCGUCAUUUGCGGCUCCCAUGAAGCCUAGCGACAUAUCUGGGCAUUGGUGCUUGAUUGUUCUGAAUUUGAGGUUCCGUCGUUUUGAGUGUCUUGAUUCACUGCGCGAUGAAACCUGGAGUGAUGCAGUUAGAUUCUUAAGGACUAUGACAGAUAACAUCAAGAAGCUUUGGAGGGAGUCCAGCAUAGACAGGGCCAAACCAUUCUCGCCGGUGCAUAUUGAUGGUUUCUCUUGCAAGUUUGUGCUGGUGCCGCAGCAGAAAAACAUCCAUGAAGACAUUCUUGACAUUAGGAAGACUUUCCUGUAUACCUGCGCAACUAGUGAUCUGUUUGAUGUUGACUUCCGUGGUUUGUUUUUCAUUAAACCCUGUGAGUGGCUGGAUCUUGAUGAGCAUGACUACAGGAUCUUUGGCAGCCAGUUCUCGGAAAGGUCUGGUGUUAUUAAGGGGCGGUUGGGAGCUCUAAAAGGUUCUAUGGCUGCUUGUGCAGAGAGCCCCUCUACACCCAAGAAUCCCAUUGUGGAAUUGAUAGAUAGCGAUGAUGAUGCGUUUGACAAGAUUGUUGGCAUGGGAAGAGUCACCAGGAGCGCUGCUGCUGCCAAGGGUUUAUCCCCACUUGCUGGAAUAGUGGCCCGUAGAGCUGGUGGUGCUAGGAAGGAUCCUACUUUGGAUUCUGGCAAUGUUACAAGCACGAAGCAUGCACCCAGAGCUCCUAUAAAGUUUUGCUCCCCUGUGCAGCAGCUUCACCCUCAUAAAUUCCCUCACCUGGAGAAGGCUCGCAAGUUGCAUAAUCUGUUGCUUAGCGAUGAAGCAUGUGAGAAGUAUGCCGAGAAUACAUUCUCAAUGAUACCUCAAUCCGAUGAUAGCGUAACCAGCUUCACUAGGAAACGCAUCUGGGAAGUUUUGGCACCUGGGCAAAUGAUGGAGGGUGAUGUAAUGGACUUCCUCAUUGAUGAUUGGAAGAAAGAUGCCGAUAGAAAUGUUGAUUUUGCAUUUGGGAAAAGGGUAUUGCUAAGUCCAUAUUUCAUCACGGUUGUGCUUGACUGUACGUUUUACGGUGAUGAAAAUAAAGAGUUUAAUGUGAAGAGUGCAGCGAGAGAUUUCAAGAGCUAUGUUAAAGAUAAUGAAGACUUGCUCAGUGUCGACCUUAUCUCCAGGAUGGUCCAAGUAAUGAAGGAUGUUAUGGUGAUGCUUAGUACAAUGCGAGCAAGCAGCCCAAAUGGGAGCUUUUUGCAAAGAAACCAAUGUUUGUGA